CCUACGGGGGGCUGCAGUGGGGAAUUUUGGACAAUGGGGGCAACCCUGAUCCAGCCAUGCCGCGUGAGUGAAGAAGGCCUUCGGGUUGUAAAGCUCUUUCGGCCGGGAGGAAAUCGCAUAGGUUAAUACCCUGUGUGGAUGACAGUACCGGAAUAAGAAGCACCGGCUAACUACGUGCCAGCAGCCGCGGUAAUACGUACGGUGCGAGCGGGCGUCGAGAUUACUGGGCGUAAAGCGUGCGACGGCGGUGAAAUCCCCGGGCUCAACCUGGGAACUGCGCUUGUGACUGGAAGGCUAGAGUAUGGCAGAGGGGGGUGGAAUUCCACGUGUAGCAGUGAAAUGCGUAGAGAUGUGGAGGAACACCGAUGGCGAAGGCAGCCCCCUGGGCCAAUACUGACGCUCAUGCACGAAAGCGUGGGGAGCAAACAGGAUUAGAUACCCUGGUAGUC
RNAcentral lists this ribosomal RNA (449 nucleotides) under uncultured bacterium. Its description in RNAcentral is "partial 16S ribosomal RNA". It matches the Rfam family "Bacterial small subunit ribosomal RNA", at positions 338 to 795 of the family's 1533-position model. The record is from RNAcentral.